CGUUGGGGAGCUGUAAGUAAGCUUUGAUCCAGAGAUUUCCGAAUGGGGAAACCCAGCAUGAGUUAUGUCAUGUUAUCGAUAUGUGAAUACAUAGCAUAUCAGAAGGCACACCCGGAGAACUGAAACAUCUUAGUACCCGGAGGAAGAGAAAGAAAAUUCGAUUCCCUUAGUAGCGGCGAGCGAAACGGGAAGAGCCCAAACCAACAAGCUUGCUUGUUGGGGUUGUAGGACACUCUAUACGGAGUUACAAAGGACGACAUUAGACGAAUCAUCUGGAAAGAUGAAUCAAAGAAGGUAAUAAUCCUGUAGUCGAAAAUGUUGUCUCUCUUGAGUGGAUCCUGAGUACGACGGAGCACGUGAAAUUCCGUCGGAAUCUGGGAGGACCAUCUCCUAAGGCUAAAUACUCUCUAGUGACCGAUAGUGAACCAGUACCGUGAGGGAAAGGUGAAAAGCACCCCGGAAGGGGAGUGAAAUAGAACCUGAAACCGUGUGCUUACAAGUAGUCAGAGCCCGUUAAUGGGUGAUGGCGUGCCUUUUGUAGAAUGAACCGGCGAGUUACGAUUUGAUGCAAGGUUAAGCAGUAAAUGUGGAGCCGUAGCGAAAGCGAGUCUGAAUAGGGCGUUUAGUAUUUGGUCGUAGACCCGAAACCAGGUGAUCUACCCUUGGUCAGGUUGAAGUUCAGGUAACACUGAAUGGAGGACCGAACCGACUUACGUUGAAAAGUGAGCGGAUGAACUGAGGGUAGCGGAGAAAUUCCAAUCGAACCUGGAGAUAGCUGGUUCUCUCCGAAAUAGCUUUAGGGCUAGCCUCAAGUGAUGAUUAUUGGAGGUAGAGCACUGUUUGGACGAGGGGCCCCUCUCGGGUUACCGAAUUCAGACAAACUCCGAAUGCCAAUUAAUUUAACUUGGGAGUCAGAACAUGGGUGAUAAGGUCCGUGUUCGAAAGGGAAACAGCCCAGACCACCAGCUAAGGUCCCAAAAUAUAUGUUAAGUGGAAAAGGAUGUGGCGUUGCCCAGACAACUAGGAUGUUGGCUUAGAAGCAGCCAUCAUUUAAAGAGUGCGUAAUAGCUCACUAGUCGAGUGACACUGCGCCGAAAAUGUACCGGGGCUAAACAUAUUACCGAAGCUGUGGAUUGUCCUUUGGACAAUGGUAGGAGAGCGUUCUAAGGGCGUUGAAGCAUGAUCGUAAGGACAUGUGGAGCGCUUAGAAGUGAGAAUGCCGGUGUGAGUAGCGAAAGACGGGUGAGAAUCCCGUCCACCGAUUGACUAAGGUUUCCAGAGGAAGGCUCGUCCGCUCUGGGUUAGUCGGGUCCUAAGCUGAGGCCGACAGGCGUAGGCGAUGGAUAACAGGUUGAUAUUCCUGUACCACCUAUAAUCGUUUUAAUCGAUGGGGGGACGCAGUAGGAUAGGCGAAGCGUGCGAUUGGAUUGCACGUCUAAGCAGUAAGGCUGAGUAUUAGGCAAAUCCGGUACUCGUUAAGGCUGAGCUGUGAUGGGGAGAAGACAUUGUGUCUUCGAGUCGUUGAUUUCACACUGCCGAGAAAAGCCUCUAGAUAGAAAAUAGGUGCCCGUACCGCAAACCGACACAGGUAGUCAAGAUGAGAAUUCUAAGGUGAGCGAGCGAACUCUCGUUAAGGAACUCGGCAAAAUGACCCCGUAACUUCGGGAGAAGGGGUGCUCUUUAGGGUUAACGCCCAGAAGAGCCGCAGUGAAUAGGCCCAAGCGACUGUUUAUCAAAAACACAGGUCUCUGCUAAACCGUAAGGUGAUGUAUAGGGGCUGACGCCUGCCCGGUGCUGGAAGGUUAAGAGGAGUGGUUAGCUUCUGCGAAGCUACGAAUCGAAGCCCCAGUAAACGGCGGCCGUAACUAUAACGGUCCUAAGGUAGCGAAAUUCCUUGUCGGGUAAGUUCCGACCCGCACGAAAGGCGUAACGAUUUGGGCACUGUCUCAACGAGAGACUCGGUGAAAUCAUAGUACCUGUGAAGAUGCAGGUUACCCGCGACAGGACGGAAAGACCCCGUGGAGCUUUACUGUAGCCUGAUAUUGAAAUUCGGCACAGCUUGUACAGGAUAGGUAGGAGCCUUUGAAACGUGAGCGCUAGCUUACGUGGAGGCGCUGGUGGGAUACUACCCUAGCUGUGUUGGCUUUCUAACCCGCACCACUUAUCGUGGUGGGAGACAGUGUCAGGCGGGCAGUUUGACUGGGGCGGUCGCCUCCUAAAAGGUAACGGAGGCGCUCAAAGGUUCCCUCAGAAUGGUUGGAAAUCAUUCAUAGAGUGUAAAGGCAUAAGGGAGCUUGACUGCGAGACCUACAAGUCGAGCAGGGUCGAAAGACGGACUUAGUGAUCCGGUGGUUCCGCAUGGAAGGGCCAUCGCUCAACGGAUAAAAGCUACCCCGGGGAUAACAGGCUUAUCUCCCCCAAGAGUUCACAUCGACGGGGAGGUUUGGCACCUCGAUGUCGGCUCAUCGCAUCCUGGGGCUGUAGUCGGUCCCAAGGGUUGGGCUGUUCGCCCAUUAAAGCGGUACGCGAGCUGGGUUCAGAACGUCGUGAGACAGUUCGGUCCCUAUCCGUCGUGGGCGUAGGAAAUUUGAGAGGAGCUGUCCUUAGUACGAGAGGACCGGGAUGGACAUACCUCUGGUGUACCAGUUGUCGUGCCAACGGCAUAGCUGGGUAGCUAUGUGUGGACGG
This 2688-nucleotide ribosomal RNA is filed under the name Staphylococcus aureus. RNAcentral describes it as "bacterial LSU rRNA". It matches the Rfam family "Bacterial large subunit ribosomal RNA". Lineage: Bacteria; Bacillati; Bacillota; Bacilli; Caryophanales; Staphylococcaceae. The record is from RNAcentral.